This 660-nucleotide ribosomal RNA is filed under the name uncultured bacterium. RNAcentral describes it as "bacterial SSU rRNA". It matches the Rfam family "Bacterial small subunit ribosomal RNA", at positions 41 to 708 of the family's 1533-position model. The record is from RNAcentral.
GGCGGCCUAUACAUGCAAGUCGAACGGUUGGUAGCAAUACCAAUAGUGGCGCACGGGUGCGUAACGCGUAACCAACCUACCCGAAUCUGGGGGAUAGCCCGCCGAAAGGCGGAUUAAUACCGCAUAAAACUGCAGCACGGCAUCGUGUAACAGUUAAAGAUUUAUUGGAUUCGGAUGGGGUUGCGUGCCAUUAGCUAGUUGGCGGGGUAACGGCCCACCAAGGCGACGAUGGCUAGGGGAGCUGAGAGGCUGGUCCCCCACACGGGCACUGAGAUACGGGCCCGACUCCUACGGGAGGCAGCAGUAGGGAAUAUUGGGCAAUGGACGCGAGUCUGACCCAGCCAUGCCGCGUGCAGGAUGAAGGCUUUCUGAGUCGUAAACUGCUUUUACCAGGGAAAAAAAAAGGGGAUGCGUCCUCUACUGACGGUACCUGGUGAAUAAGCACCGGCUAACUCCGUGCCAGCAGCCGCGGUAAUACGGAGGGUGCAAGCGUUGUCCGGAUUUAUUGGGUUUAAAGGGUGCGUAGGCGGCUGAUUAAGUCUGGGGUGAAAGCCCGUUGCUCAACAACGGAACUGCCCUGGAAACUGGUUAGCUUGAGUACAGACGAGGGUGGCGGAAUGGAUACUGUAGCGGUGAAAUGCAUAGAUAGUAUCCAGAACC